GAUGAAGAACGUAGUGAAAUGCGAUAAGUAAUGUGAAUUGCAGAAUUCAGUGAAUCAUCGAAUCUUUGAACGCACAUUGCGCCCGCCAGCAUUCUGGCGGGCAUGCCUGUUCGAGCGUCAUUUCAACCCUCGAGCCCCCCCGGGGGCCUCGGUGUUGGGGGACGGCACACCAGCCGCCCCCGAAAUGCAGUGGCGACCCCGCCGCAGCCUCCCCUGCGUAGUAGCACACACCUCGCACCGGAGCGCGGAGGCGGUCACGCCGUAAAACACCCAACUUCUGAAUGUUGACCUCGAAUCAGGUAGGAAUACCCGCUGAACUUAAGCAUAUCAAUAAGCGGAGGA
RNAcentral lists this unclassified non-coding RNA (342 nucleotides) under soil metagenome. RNAcentral describes it as "partial contains 5.8S ribosomal RNA, internal transcribed spacer 2, and large subunit ribosomal RNA". The stretch from base 1 to 120 matches the Rfam family "5.8S ribosomal RNA", at positions 35 to 154 of the family's 154-position model. The record is from RNAcentral.